AUACUUACCUGGCAGGGGAGAUACCAUGAUCAUGAAGGUGGUUUUCCCAGGGUGAGGCUUAUCGAUUACACUCCAGAUAUGCCGCCCCCUGGGACUUCCCCAAAUGUGGGAAACUCAACCACAUAGUUUGUGGUAGUAGGGGACUAAAUUCACAAA
This is a small nuclear RNA of Phyllostomus discolor (pale spear-nosed bat), 156 nucleotides long. RefSeq annotates it as U1 spliceosomal RNA. The record is from RefSeq and is a predicted model, not a curated record. The transcript has a single exon. Lineage: Eukaryota; Metazoa; Chordata; Mammalia; Chiroptera; Phyllostomidae.